GGCACAUUUGGGUAGAUUGUGCAGCUCAGCCCUCACUGAGAAGCUGACACAGGAGGAAAGAAAGACCUGAGGGGGGUGAGGGGAGAGUCCUGUGGAGAUCUAGGGAUCGAAGUAGCAAUGAGAGAUUUUUCCUCGGAAAUUAGUUACUGACAAAUAGUAAUGUGUGUUGUUUGGCAGGUAUGAAUUGGUCAGAAUUAAGGCCAGAACUACCCAAAUGGUUCACACAGUUAGGGCAUGGUUUAAGACCUUUGACACUGAACAAAUUGAAGCUAUAACACACAUAGUAAUUUGUAUACUUCUAUAAAAUGGAUCUUUUGGAUAUGUGUGUAAACAGCUCCUUGCAAUAGCCUCUCACUUAAGUGGUUCAGUCCAGUUUUGUAAGUUGUAUUUUGCUACUUGAGUAACGAUGCUGUACAAAAUCCCAACUAUUGCUUGAACCUAGUGCCAGGAAACUCAACUGUCACUAGAAUCAAUGAGCCACAAGUGGGAAAACAUUUCUCUAUCUGUGGAUGUGGGGCUAACAGGUUACCUAUUUCAUUAACUUCAGGGACAAGAGCUUAAGUGAGCAGAAAAGGCUGAUCAGUAUAUUUAACCACAAGCCUGAAUCCCAGCACAUUGCAGGAUGAAGUCACUACAUGGUCACAGUUGGUGACAUCACAAUGGGGUUUGCCCUAUAAAGUCCAGACCAUCUUCAGGCUUAGGCUUCUUCCUCCUAAGGGUCACAGUUUUAUAAGACUGGUUUACAGCUAGUGCUGCCCUGCAGUGGUGCGGACCCAGACUUCAUGCACAAAGAUCAGGCUGUGAUUUCACGCAUCUGAUAGAUAAAUGAAGAAUUCAGAACCUGACCAUAAGUUCAAGACAAGCUGCAAAAAAAGGAAGAAAAAUUCAAAGACCUUGGAACAGAAUUCCACCACUGUCAAACCCAGAAACAUGGACCCACAGGUUGAUCACAAAUUCCAGGACCUCCUUCACCACAUCCAAAGGCAAGUGGAGAGCCAUCCCCAUCACAAUCUCUACCAGCACCACCUCUACCCAGAGGAGUUUUCUCUCCUCUUCCAACUCCUUCACCUGUACUAAAUGAUAAACCAUCACCACCAUCACCAUCACUUUCAAUGGGGGAUGACCUGCACUGGGAUUAUUGCCUACUCUUAACAAUGAAGCAGAAAUAAAAUGUAUGCACCUGAA
Microcebus murinus (gray mouse lemur) is the source of this 1185-nucleotide non-coding RNA. NCBI's taxonomy places the organism in Eukaryota, Metazoa, Chordata, Mammalia, Primates, Cheirogaleidae. The record is from RefSeq and is a predicted model, not a curated record.